RNAcentral lists this ribosomal RNA (320 nucleotides) under uncultured Leptophryidae. Its description in RNAcentral is "SSU rRNA". The stretch from base 100 to 320 matches the Rfam family "Eukaryotic small subunit ribosomal RNA", at positions 734 to 955 of the family's 1831-position model. Lineage: Eukaryota; Endomyxa; Vampyrellida; Leptophryidae. The record is from RNAcentral.
AACUUAUGACCUCCUCCUCUUGGCCCGUGGCUUCGGCCAUGUUGUGACGAGAGGAGUGGCCAUCAUUCUGGAAAGCGUCUCUACCCUUCACUGGGUUGGUUGCGUGAUCCAGAUCAUUUACUGUGAGAAAAACAAAGUGUUCAAAGCAGGCCGUCAGGCUUGUAUGCGUUAGCAUGGAAUAAUAAGAUAGGACUUUGGUUCUAUUUUGUUGGCUUUCAGAACUAAAGUAAUGAUUGAUAGGGAUAGUUGGGGGUGCUAGUAUUUAACGGUCAGCGGUGAAAUGCAUGGACCCGUUAAAGACUAACUUAUGCGAAAGCAUU